Molecule: ribosomal RNA, 252 nt
Filed under: uncultured Lactobacillus sp.
Lineage: Bacteria; Bacillati; Bacillota; Bacilli; Lactobacillales; Lactobacillaceae
Description: partial 16S ribosomal RNA
Rfam family: Bacterial small subunit ribosomal RNA
Source: RNAcentral
UAACGCGUGGGUAACCUGCCCUUAAGUCUGGGAUACCAUUUGGAAACAGAUGCUGAUACCGGAUAAAAGCUACUUUCGCAUGAAAGAAGUUUAAAAGGCGGCGUAAGCUGUCGCUAAAGGAUGGACCUGCGAUGCAUUAGCUAGUUGGUAAGGUAACGGCUUACCAAGGCGAUGAUGCAUAGCCGAGUUGAGAGACUGAUCGGCCACAUUGGGACUGAGACACGGCCCAAACUCCUACGGGAGGCAGCAGCA